This is a long non-coding RNA of Talpa occidentalis (Iberian mole), 671 nucleotides long. RefSeq lists it as uncharacterized. Lineage: Eukaryota; Metazoa; Chordata; Mammalia; Eulipotyphla; Talpidae. The record is from RefSeq and is a predicted model, not a curated record. The transcript has 4 exons.
CCGCGGGUCCCUUGGGCCCCGUCAGCCCCCGUGAGCGGGUGGCCCCCGAGCACCCUGUGGGUGAGCCCUGGGGGGCGGAAAGUGGAGAUGGUGCUUGGGGAAUAAUGGAGGCCUGACCCCGGAAGAACGGGAAUGACCAACAUUCUUAAAUCUCUAGCCAAUAACGUCGUCGAAUGUUCUGAGCAAAGACGGAACCAGUGCUGCUGGCUCUUCGCAUCCUACUCCAGGAGAGGACCAGAAGAGGAAAGAUGAGGAAACUGAGCCCCCAAGGAUAUGAUAUGCCGUCAAGACAACUGUGGGGCAAUUUCUAAAUCCAUCUCCAGGUUCCAAAUGCAGCGACGCCUUCACAUUGCAGGAAACUGAAUCAACCUGAGAACUCAGCUAUCGCGCAAUGGAGAGAGGUUCAGGAGAGGACAUCAGUGUCCCAGGCCCCUUGCUGUUAUGCCAGGCUGUAUCUUACCUAACGGCAGCUGGCCAGGGAAGCUGAAAAGACCAUGCAGGACUUCUAACAGCACACUAAGCUAUACGAGCGAGUCAGAAGGAGAGGAACAGAACAAACACAGCAACUUCUGAGAAGGAAAAAGAGACAGCCAAGGUAUAGCUCUGAAAGAGACUUAAGAGCCUAUCCUCAUUCAAACAAGUUAUAAAAAUAAAGAUUUUAAACCAUCAGG